AUACGUAGGUGGCAAGCGUUGUCCGGAUUUAUUGGGCGUAAAGCGAGCGCAGGUCGGUUUUUUAAGUCUGAUGUGGAAGCCUUCGGCUCAACCGAAGAAGUGCAUCGGAAACUGGGAAACUUGAGUGCAGAAGAGGACAGUGGAACUCCAUGUGUAGCGGUGAAAUGCGUAGAUAUAUGGAAGAACACCAGUGGCGAAGGCGGCUGUCUGGUCUGUAACUGACGCUGAGGCUCGAAAGCGUGGGUAGC
Molecule: ribosomal RNA, 248 nt
Filed under: uncultured bacterium
Lineage: Bacteria
Description: partial 16S ribosomal RNA
Rfam family: Bacterial small subunit ribosomal RNA
Source: RNAcentral